CAGUAGCCGCGGGAAUACAGAGGGUGCAAGCGUUAAUCGGAUUUACUGGGCGUAAAGGGCGCGUAGGUGGUUAUGUAAGUGAGAUGUGAAAUCCCCGGGCUCAACCUGGGAACUGCAUCUUAUACUGCGUAGCUGGAGUGCAGUAGAGGGUAGUGGAAUUUCCGGUGUAGCGGUGAAAUGCGUAGAUAUCGGAAGGAACACCAGUGGCGAAGGCGGCUACCUGGACUGACACUGACACUGAGGCGCGAAAGCGUGGGGAGCAAACAGGAUUAGAUACCCCCGUAGUCCCUGUCUCUUAUAC
RNAcentral lists this ribosomal RNA (301 nucleotides) under uncultured bacterium. RNAcentral describes it as "partial 16S ribosomal RNA". It matches the Rfam family "Bacterial small subunit ribosomal RNA", at positions 509 to 807 of the family's 1533-position model. The record is from RNAcentral.